AGAAAUUAGUUCCUGUUAUAAAAAUGGCUUCCAGUAUUAUUCCGAACAUACGCAGAAAGAUGGUUUCUUUCACUCCCGUGUAAAUUCUCUUCCGGCAGCUCUGUUCUCAUAAGCCGCUUGAGAGCAGCCCUCCGUAGUCAUAUGCGUGAUCAAGCGAUGUCAGAGAGCGGAGAAGAGGCAUGGAAUCGGAAGAUUGUUCCUCGUGUUGUAGAGAUCGCGAGCUCCCGUCUCUCUCAGAGAGACCUCUGCUCUGUGCUUCUCCUCAGCACUUGUUGCUAUCGCGCCCUUAUCUCUCAACCAUCUCUUUGGAAGGUACUUGAUCUUCAUGAAAUGAAUAAAGCAGGAGAGAGAUUAGUAUCCGCCCUUUCAUUGGAUAGGUAUAAACAUGUUGAGAGGAUAAACCUUGAAUUUGCAAGUGACGUUCAUGAUGAGCAUCUAUUCCUUUUAAAAAAUAAGGUAACGGAGCAUCUUCAACACCUAGAAUAUCUGAAUCUCAAUGGCUGUCAGAAAAUUUCUGAUAAUGGAAUUGAAGCUGUAACAAUUGCUUGCCCUAAACUUAGGGUAUUUUCUAUCUUCUGGAAUGUUAGGGUGACGGAUGUGAGCAUAAAACACCUCGUGAAGCAUUGCAAACAUAUGUCUCGUCUAAACCUCAGCGGAUGCAAGGGUAUCUCGGACCAAAGUUUGCAUCUCAUAGGUGAUAACUACAAAGAAUUAGAGGAAUUGAAUAUUACGAGGUGCAUCAAAAUCACUGAUAAUGGAUUACAAAAUGCUCUCAAGUGUAGUACCCUAAAAAGCUUAAACUUGUAUGCCCUCUCAAGUCUCACUGAUAGAGCUUAUGAGAAGAUUGGUUGCUUAGCAGAUCUGGAAUUCUUGGACUUGUGUGGUGCUCAGAAUCUAUCUGAUAAUGGCCUUUCUAGCAUUGCCAGCUGCAGAAAAUUACUUUCUUUGAAUUUGACGUGGUGCAUACGGGUUACCGAUGUAGGCGUGAUGAAAAUUUCCAAAGGGUGCAGAUCUCUUGAAUUUCUCAGCUUAUUUGGUAUUGUUGGACUUACUGAUAGAUGUCUGGAGGUUCUUUCUAAGCACUGCUCGAAUACUAUAACAACCCUUGAUGUGAACGGAUGCACUGGAAUUAAGAGGAGGAGUCAUGAAGACCUUCGCAAGCUUUUUCCACAUAUAAGGUGCUUCAGAGUACACAGCUAGUGGGGAGAACAGGCUGUUCUGAGAGGUUGGAAGCUUUCUAUCCAUCCAGUUUCUUCUGGUCGCCAGAUUGGCCUAGUCAGCAGUCAGCAGUCAGCAGUCAGCAUUAGGAGAAGAUGCAGCGUCUCAAUGCCUAUGCUUCACAGCUAAGUUCCUGGAUGUUUAAUAUUUUUUAUUUGUUGGAAUAUUUAGUGUGGAAAAAUAAAAUUUUUUAUGCGGUUGAGAUUCAAUCCUAGAAUCUCAAUAAUACUAUCCAAGGUUUUUAUUGACUGAGCUAACUACCAUUUGCUUUUUGAUCUAAAUUUAAUUCAAUUAAAAUUUUGUUAAUUUAUAUAAAAGCUUCGAGUCAAAGUCUAA
RNA transcript from Phalaenopsis equestris, 1554 nucleotides. It is a transcript of the gene named F-box protein At3g58530, with no coding region annotated. The record is from RefSeq and is a predicted model, not a curated record. The transcript is spliced from 13 exons. Lineage: Eukaryota; Viridiplantae; Streptophyta; Magnoliopsida; Asparagales; Orchidaceae.